This 213-nucleotide long non-coding RNA is filed under the name Salvia miltiorrhiza (redroot sage). Its description in RNAcentral is "long non-coding RNA (SMIL_LNC001225)". The record is from RNAcentral. Lineage: Eukaryota; Viridiplantae; Streptophyta; Magnoliopsida; Lamiales; Lamiaceae.
UGAAAUAUUCCUUAAAAGGAAAAGGCAUCGUUAGGGCUUGGCUAAAACAUUAUCAGAGUUUGCAACGGAAGGCGUAACUGAAAUAAUCAGUGUUUACAGCGGAAAGCAUAACUGAGAUACAUGUAUGAAGACAUGUAUCCUUUCUGAGCCUACUUUAAGUUCGACAAAAACUCCACUCAGCAACACUUCAUCGCCCAUCACAGCUCAACCUGC